AUAUCUCAUACCGUGUUGCAUAUAUGCGGUAUUGUUUCAAUGAUUCGAUGAAUAUAAUGUGUGGAUAGAUUAUAUCUUUUACCCAUAGUUACACAUCAACAAUCUCUCAAGAAUUUAGGAUCUCAAAAGAAAAAGAAAAAAGUUGCUCUUCAGAUAAAUGAUACACAUUGAUCAAUUUCCAUUGCUGAAGUAAUGUAAGUACUUGUUGAUGAAGAAAUUUGGAUUGGAUUACAACCUGAAGGACUUUAAAAUCUCUGCGAGGCUUUUGGGGUCAUCAAAAUAGAUGAAAUAUUUAAAGGGGAGGUAUUUCAUUGUCCAUGAAUAAUAAUAUUGAAGAUGCAACCCCCUGAAGUAGGGAUAAGAAAAACGUAUGAUGAUCGCGGAGCAUUUAUUGGAGGAGAGGGAGAAAGACUUGGAGACUAAGGUUGCAGAGAUGAUAUGAUUUGUGCAUAGAAUAAGGCGUUAAAGAAGAGGGUGAAGGCAUUGAACAAGGAAUUAAUUUAUUAUUUAUCU
Long non-coding RNA from Capsicum annuum, 513 nucleotides. RefSeq lists it as uncharacterized. The transcript is spliced from 4 exons. The record is from RefSeq and is a predicted model, not a curated record. NCBI's taxonomy places the organism in Eukaryota, Viridiplantae, Streptophyta, Magnoliopsida, Solanales, Solanaceae.